Molecule: long non-coding RNA, 203 nt
Filed under: Chinchilla lanigera (long-tailed chinchilla)
Lineage: Eukaryota; Metazoa; Chordata; Mammalia; Rodentia; Chinchillidae
Description: lncRNA (ENSCLAG00000025300.1)
Source: RNAcentral
CUGAAGACAGAUGUAGUAACUCACCCUACCCUUCCAGACCUACAAAGGAUGGGCUUGAACUUGGGCCCAGUCUCAGCCUUUGAGGCAGGAGCAGAGGGUAGACACAGAGGCAGUGCAGCCCCAGUUUGGUAGUAAUCCCUAGCAUAAAGAAAGACAGCUUGACCUGAGCAAGGUGAGUGGAGUUGUUUUGCUGAAAGUUACCA